RNAcentral lists this microRNA (20 nucleotides) under Sus scrofa (pig). Its description in RNAcentral is "ssc-mir176". Lineage: Eukaryota; Metazoa; Chordata; Mammalia; Artiodactyla; Suidae. The record is from RNAcentral.
CCGGGGGGGGGGGGCCUGGG